Molecule: long non-coding RNA, 1180 nt
Organism: Onychomys torridus (southern grasshopper mouse)
Lineage: Eukaryota; Metazoa; Chordata; Mammalia; Rodentia; Cricetidae
Exons: 4
Source: RefSeq, a predicted model, not a curated record
GUGUGGUCCGGCCCGGGGGGCGGAGUUACGCCCGGUUAGGCCUUCCGGGAAAGGAGACCCGUAUUCUUAAGUUCCUUCCAGAGUUUCCUGAGUCACACGGAAGUUUGGAACAACUUCGAAGCUAGGUGUUUUACAGAGGAGUGAGUCCGAGUGAGGCCCAGCCCUCAACUCCGCCUCAGGUAUUUUGAAAAGAAGAACUCGGAUUAUAUUAAAUGUGGAGUUCGUAACGAUUUAUUUUGAGUAGUCAAGGAAGACUACAUACCUUGGCUAUCAACCCCACUUUGAUAAUAACUGAGAGACCCAGAGGUUGUCUGGAUUACCACCGUCGUUGUCUCGGACAAAAUAUUCCAAGCUCUGCUGGUCCUCAUCACCAUGAUAUCCUGAUGGUUGUUUAUUGUCAGCCGUUGAUACUGUCUUGUUAUGUACUUAGGGUUCCUUUCACAAUGUGGAGAGGAACAUUUGCCAAAAGGAAAGCUGAGACUGGCUCCAGAUGAAACAUCUCUCUGCCUGGAAAAGGAGUACUUUGUUCCAGAGCCAUAACUGGUCCGGCCCUGCAGAGCAAACUCACACAAUAAAGGAAGGCUGAAGGUUACACACUGAGAACUGGACAACUUGAAGUCAUUAAAGUUUUGAAAAGGCUCCACAGAAGAUCUGAUCCCUAGUUCAUCACCAUCCUUCUUCCGAUCUACAGAAACACUCUUCUCCAAGAGGAGAUGAUGGGCUUAGAAGGAAUGUAAUGAAUGCCAUAAGAAAAGACAACAUGUUGGCUCAAGGCCAGACUCUGGAAGAGAGCAAAGCCAUUUGGUGUCGUGAGGAGGCUCCUGCUGAGAGGGAUGGAAAAAAUGUUGAUGUCAUCCUGAGCCCUGCCUCUGCGAGAGUUGUUUUAUUCUGCCUCGUAUAAAAGGGGCAGCCUAGAUGGAGGUGUCAGAGUUGGAAUGAGUCCCUGAGACCAAACAGGCCCCUCUGGAGCUAUUUCCUCCAUGUCAGGGUUGCACCUCUCACACUGAGAAAAGAAACUUGUGCUGUGGCUACACCAGCUGUGUCUUCUCAGGGACUUGAAGACUCAGUUUCAUACCGGCCAUCCAAGCCUUGUCAUCAACAUUAAACUCACAUUAUAUUUUAAGAUGAGAGAUUCUUAUUAAGCCAGAGUAAAUAAAUCCUUGGUGAGAGAACAACUCCA